This is a long non-coding RNA of Parus major (Great Tit), 2266 nucleotides long. RefSeq lists it as uncharacterized. The record is from RefSeq and is a predicted model, not a curated record. Lineage: Eukaryota; Metazoa; Chordata; Aves; Passeriformes; Paridae. The transcript is spliced from 3 exons.
GCAGAGUGACCAGAAGUCCCACCUAGGGGGUGGGCCCACAGAGGCCAUUGGCUAUUUAAGGAUGAGCAGGAGAUGAGCAUGCCUUCAUCCUCCCCACUACUGGAGUGUGUAUCUGAUCCAUGCUGGAACCCAGGAUUUGGUAAAUAUAUGUGUGUGUUUCUUAUCUUUUCUCUUCUUGUUCUUGAAAUGUUCCUUUUCUUGGAACAUUUUGGGUAGCUUAACAUCAAACAGGUUUAAAGUUUGCUAAAUCAAGUGGGCCAGAUUAAUACUGUGAGAAGUGUUUUAUGUUGACUGGAUGUUGUAUUAAAUCUUUUACCAAGGUUCCUUGGUUUUCUGUAUUUUGCCAGUAAAGUAAUUUUGAUCUCUUGAGACUAUCUGGUCUAUUUAACCAUGAGUACAAGGACCUUUGUAAACCCCUUGUGUUUAAAUGUUGGGGCCUUACAGUGUGAAAUAGCCCUUUGGUUAGCUGGGGUGCCUGUCCUCGUUGUGUCUCCUCCCAGCUUCCUUUUCCAAUAGGGCAGUAUAAAAAGCAGAAAAGUCCUUAACUCUGUAAACACUCAGCAAGAACAAAAACACCUCUAUGCUGUCAGCCCUGUGUUCAGCACAGAUCCAAAACACAGGCCCAUAUUGUGAAAAAAAACUCUAACAUUAACUCUACCCCAGUCAGAACCAGCACACUUGGUAAAAGAGACAACAGUUGUUUAACUACAAGCUUAACUUUUAAUGGGAAGGCAGAUUUUUCAAAUAUUAGAAAUGCAAACAAGUCCUUUGGUCUUGGACAAUUUGGUCUUUUCUCAUUAUCCCCUCCAAUAUGAUCCCCUGUUUGAUUUUGGUACUGUCAGAAAUCUUCCUCACCUUUGUUUAUCUAGAAUUUCAAAGCACUCUGGACCAGUCUUCUCCAUGUUCAACUCCAGGUGAACACCUUCUUUUCACCAUCACAAUCAACAGGGAUUAGAAGACUCCUGUAGUCAAAACAGUUGCUGAGUACAUGGAAAAAUCUUGAUGCUGUACCCCAUGUUAACUACAAAGGCCACUGGAUACUGGUGAGCUGGCCACUUAUAAAUCGCUUCCUGCAGACUAAAUUAGCUGUGGCUCUUCUGGAAGUCAGUAAAUUUACCAUGGGCCAAAAAUGUCUCAUCAAAGACUUCUUUCACAAACCAGCAGCAUGUCUAAUUUUGUCAUAUAGGUCUAGAAGAGAUGCUCUUCUCCAAGAACCUAAAUGACAUGUAAGGAAGUAUUUCUGUAGCCAUUGGGGUUGGAAUUAGAUGAUCUUGAAGGUCCCUUCCAACCUGGGCAUGGGGGACAGAGAACUACCUCACCAGAGCAAAGCCUGACCUGUGCCCUACCACACAUUCCAAACCCCCAAGAUGUCUCAAAACAGGCUCUCUUUUUCCAGUCCCUGACACUGUUUUCCCAUUUUAUCUUGGCCUCAGGAAUAAGUGCAGUGCAUUUUUUUUAUCCCUUCCCUUGAAUCUGUGUGAAUCCCAUGUUUCAGAGUCAUCAAAGUAUCAUAACACGUUGAUCUGUAAGGAUAACAUCACGUGAGCUAUGUGGCCUGUAACAGAAGCUUUAAAUAUGAACUAUGAUAAAAAGCAGUAUUUGUCUCAUUUUCUUGGAAACACUUCCAACUUUUUAAAUGUGACAAUGGUAUAAUGAUGUAGUUGAGAAUGGUGAUACCCUGAUCCCAUCCCUUGCAAAAUGCUGUAAUUCUCCAGGCACAUGCUUUUUAUGCCUCAUUGGCAUGUCUUGGAUAUGUCCUGGCCACCAGGGUAUAGUAGACACUGCUGGACCUAGUGAAAACUUGGGUAAAAAAAAUCAUUUUUCAUUGAAUAAUAAAGAUUUUUCUGAUUGCAAAACCUAUAAUCAAAUGUGCUCCCUACCCUAAGUAUCUUGCAGAACAAAAGCAGUUUUUAAUUAUUUUAUACUAAGUGAGGCACAAAACCUGAUUGAAGAUGCUUUAUUUCAUCUUUUUUACCCUCAUUAUCAAGUGGAAAAUUCUAAACGCCAUAUUUCUGGUUUGCAAUAGAUACAAAAGUUUGUCACAAGAUAUUCCAGACAGGGCCUAUUCAGUGCAAGGUGUAGGAUGUGUUUUAAAUUAAUGCUGGAGCAAAGUACCCGGAACUUGAGCCCUAAGAUGAGAUUAAUUUGGCUGGUUAUUUGAAAUGAGUUUGUUACAAAAAAAAUGUACGCAGGUGUAAAGAGAACAUUUGAGAGAUGGUUUGCAUUAUUUAGACUAAAAGGUACAAUGUGAAAAAUAUUUUUUGAU